Zootermopsis nevadensis is the source of this 73-nucleotide non-coding RNA. The record is from Rfam. Lineage: Eukaryota; Metazoa; Arthropoda; Insecta; Blattodea; Termopsidae.
GCCACGGUGGUCUAGCGGUUAGAACGCUGACCUUGUAAUCCUGGGGUCUCGGGUUCGAUUCCCGGCGGUGCCC